Dioscorea cayenensis subsp. rotundata (Guinea yam) is the source of this 2089-nucleotide RNA transcript. RefSeq lists it as uncharacterized. Lineage: Eukaryota; Viridiplantae; Streptophyta; Magnoliopsida; Dioscoreales; Dioscoreaceae. The transcript has 6 exons. The record is from RefSeq and is a predicted model, not a curated record.
GUUGUAAAACCUCUGCAAACCCCCCCAAAUCGAAGAAUUUCUAGGGUUUGCUUCUUUGCCUCCCUCCCGCCCUCGUUCUCAUGGAGGCCGUUCUCGUUGAAUCCCCGUUCCAAUCGAAGGCUCACACUGACUUCUUUCUCCCUUCCGGCCCUAGCUACGAUUCCAUGCUCCGUGAAUCCAUUGAUCGCUUCCUCGUCGAGGUCCAUAAGCAACCUCGUGACUUCUCCGCCUUCCGCUCCGUCUUCUUCCGGCUUCUCCAGUCCAGCCCCGAUCCCCCGCUCGAGAUCAUCUGGUUUUACUCCGCAGUGAACUACUUCGACUCUGUUUUAACUGGUAAUGAUGUCCUUGCUCGCGUUUUGGGGAUCAGAGACCUUCUCCAGCUUCUCAUCGCCUGUUCGGCGUCUUGUGACGGACGAAAGUCGGUGGCUUUGCUGGCGCCUGUCGUUUCUGAGCUAUAUCACUGCCUGAUGGAGGAGAAGGAGCUCCAUGGGAAGGCUAAGAGGGAGAUUGAGGGCUUGGUUGAAGGUGUCAUCAGCUACAUUAGCAUUUGUGGAAGCAAGCCACAUAGUGAUGCAAAUGGUUCUGCUGGGUUUCUUUCUUGUUUCAUGGAUCUUGUUCGUGUUUGGUCGUCACGAUGCCCAGGCGGCGGAGAUGGCUCAGAUGUGGUUUUUCCAUUGGUGAAUGGUUAUAUAAGGAGAAGGCUUUGCAACCAAUGCCGGGAUGUUGGGUAUUUGGCUGCGGUUGUGACGUCGGAGAUUUUCUUGCUGAGGCUGUGCUUGAAGGUCCGGGGAGCUGGUGAGGUCAAGACAGAGUUGCCGAAGGAGCUCAAGAUAUGGGCAGUCAGUUCGGUGACUGUGUUUCGGAAUUCCAUCUUCUUUGAGAUAUUAUUGAAGCUGCUGCUGGGCCCAACACUGCCUUUCAAAUCCUUAUUGAAUUCGAAGGAGGAGAACCUUGUGAAGAGCAUCCUCUAUGAUGCGGUGAUACUCGUGGAUUAUUCUUUUCUUAAUCCUGGAAUGGGCCCGGAACAGUCAUUUGAUCGUAUAAAAAGUCUUGCUUUGACAAGACUGUUCGUAUCUGAUGAAGCCAUCAGAAUAGCCAAGGAAAAUGGGGAUCAUUCCAAGGUUUUAUCCUAUACAAGUGCCUUUUCCACCUCCAAUCUUCCCGGUGAUUUUGUUAAGUGGGUCAACAAUCAUGCUGCUGCCAGUAAGGUGGCAUGCAAGCGGCCAAAUGGCACUACGCCUCAAGCUCUUUUGGUGUGGCUUGAGGGCCUUGAGGACAAUGGACUGACACUGUUUGAGGACCGAAUAUCUAGCUUGCGAACCAAGCUCUUAAAUCAAGAUGGAAUUCACCAUCCCGGGGAAUCACUAAUUGAUCCAAACGAGUACUCAGAUGCUGAACUUUUCCAUCUUGAUACAAGGGUGAAUCCUGAAGUCGAAACAGAACCUGUGGAUUAUAAGUUCUCUGCUGCUGUUAGCUUAAUGAGAUCUAAAGCCACCUAUUCACGGAGGAAACGAAAAGAAUUUGGGGGUGAAGAGGCUGUACCUUCAAAGCUUGGCAAACAUGAGGCCAAUGAUGAUUCUGUGGAAGACUAUUCCAUGUCUUAUGCCGGCAAUGAUCGUAUGAGCAGUGAUAGUGAGAUCGAGAAUCCCGAGUCUGAUGACAACAUGGACAUAGUAGGGCAAUGAGAUGAGUAGUGGUUUAAGCGCAUGGCAAAUCACACUUAUGCUAGUUUUUAGUUAAAAGAAAAAUCAUAUAUAUAUUGGUGCACUAGCAUCAUCAUAUUUUCUCAUGCUUUCAGGAGCAUGAGACUUAACCACUUCACCUGCUGAGAGAGGAAGGAGUUGAAUGACCUUGUCUCCAUCCAUCUCUUUCGUUUCAGUAAAUGUUUUGUUCGUCGGAAAACUAAUAUCUGUGAUGGAGAUUUAAAAUAUUCAUAUGGAAGCUUGGAGUUCAGCAUCAUCACCAACCAAGCGUUAGCAAAGCAAGAAGCACACUGGAACUCUCAGUGGUUCAAGUGUCCAUUACCACUUCUUUUUGCUCUGCUUUUACAGAGAAAUUGACAGUUGAAGAGGUUUGAGUGCAUGAAGUU